GAUGAACGCUGGCGGCGUGCCUAAUACAUGCAAGUCGAGCGAAUGGAUUAAGAGCUUGCUCUUAUGAAGUUAGCGGCGGACGGGUGAGUAACACGUUGGUAACCUGCCCAUAAGACUGGGAUAACUCCGGGAAACCGGGGCUAAUACCGGAUAACAUUUUGAACCGCAUGGUUCGAAAUUGAAAGGCGGCUUCGGCUGUCACUUAUGGAUGGACCCGCGUCGCAUUAGCUAGUUGGUGAGGUAACGGCUCACCAAGGCAACGAUGCGUAGCCGACCUGAGAGGGGGAUCGGCCACACUGGGACUGAGACACGGCCCAGACUCCUACGGGAGGCAGCAGUAGGGAAUCUUCGGCAAUGGACGAAAGUCUGACGGAGCAACGACGCGUGAGUGAUGAAAGCUUUCGGGUCGUAAAACUCUGUUGUUAGGGAAGAACAAGUGCUAGUUGAAUAAGCUGGCACCUUGACGGUACCUAACCAGAAAGCCACGGCUAACUACGUGCCAGCCGCCGCGGUAA
This 515-nucleotide ribosomal RNA is filed under the name uncultured bacterium. Its description in RNAcentral is "partial 16S ribosomal RNA". It matches the Rfam family "Bacterial small subunit ribosomal RNA", at positions 28 to 523 of the family's 1533-position model. The record is from RNAcentral.